RNAcentral lists this long non-coding RNA (577 nucleotides) under Zonotrichia albicollis (white-throated sparrow). Its description in RNAcentral is "lncRNA (ENSZALG00000006033.1)". The record is from RNAcentral. Lineage: Eukaryota; Metazoa; Chordata; Aves; Passeriformes; Passerellidae.
UAGAGCACACACACAGCAUUUAUUGGAUACUCUGACACAUCAGAAGAGUUCCAACUAGUGUUUUAAUCCUAUUACUUAGAGUAACUAAAAUAGCACCAGUAUCUAUUCUACAGCCAUUUGAGCCUAAAGUGGAAACAAGAUGAGGAACAAGCUAUCUGAUCCUCAUGAGUAUUGAGAGGACUAAUUUAAUUUUGUCAAAUCCUUUCAAGUCCUUGAAUGAAAAAUACUUCAUCUGAAGGUCUCUGAACAGUUAAUUGAGCUCCUUCAAAAGUAUUAAUUGCUGAUGGAGACUGUACAGAAGGACAUAUGGAGAGAAAAAGAUCUGUUGUUUGCAUCCCUACUCUUCUGUCUUGUUAUUCAUCAUCAAAUGAAAGAAAAGAAAGUGAAUUUCAUGGAUCUUUCAACGUACCAGUGUUCAAAUAUUUUGAUCACUAGAGAAGAUCCACUUCCCUGAUGUCAGUUUUGAGUCCUAGAAAAAAAUAGAAAAUCUAUCACGGAUUACUUGGAAAAGCAGAAAUAUUGUUAAUGAAGAAUUAUAUUUAAUAAAGUAAGCUUAUAAACAAGAUUCUUACCCUUA